AAAGGCAACAGCAAAUCACAAACAUCCAUAAUUAUACAUCAGGGACUAAUAAAUGGAGAUUGUGCCCUGUGGUUGUUGGUGUGACAGAUGCAGGCUGGGUGCUCUUUCUGGACUGAGUUUCUGCCUGUCACAAUGCCCCACACCCUGGAGAAAGAGCUUACAGAGCACUCGAGCCAUUCACCACAGGGUUGAAGCAACUUCCAAGGGGGAAGUGUCUAAUUAGAGGCACUGAAUUCUCUUCAUUACAUGUUCAGUUCUGAAGCUGCUGACUUUUAGUGAAUUAUGUGGAUGCCAAAUGACUUCUAAAAGUCUUUGGGAGAUACUAUCAGAUGAAUUAAUAAUUUUCACUCAUAAUGUUACAUGGGAAGUCCGUGAAUUCAGAUAUUCUUUCAGGAGAAGCACCACCUGCUUCAUGAGUAAUUGAAUUUAAAUCUCCACCUUCAAUAACUCCACAGCUUAUGUCAAACCUUGGAAACAAUUACGAAAUAAAUCACAAGGAAGGCCUGCUUAAUCUCAUCAGGUUAAUAAACGCAGACGAAUUAAUCACCUAAA
Molecule: non-coding RNA, 552 nt
Filed under: Pongo abelii (Sumatran orangutan)
Lineage: Eukaryota; Metazoa; Chordata; Mammalia; Primates; Hominidae
Source: RNAcentral